Molecule: non-coding RNA, 6867 nt
Organism: Macaca mulatta (Rhesus monkey)
Lineage: Eukaryota; Metazoa; Chordata; Mammalia; Primates; Cercopithecidae
Source: RefSeq, a predicted model, not a curated record
CUGCACUCCAGCCUGGGCAACAGAGUGAGACCCUGUCUCCAAAAAAAAUUUUUAAAAGGUUAGAAUUCGGUUAGGGGACACCAUUUUAGGUAAGGUACACAGGAAGGCCUCUCUGAUAAGACAAUAACUGAACAGAAACCUGAAGGAAGGCAGUGAACAUGCAAAUAUCAAGAAGGGUGUUCUACUCAGAGGGAAUAGCAAGUACAAAGGCCCUGUGGUGGGACCGUGGGAAUCUUAGAGAACAACAAGGAGGCUGGGGUGGCCAGAUUGGCAUAAAUGAGGAGGAGAGCAGCAGACAAUGAGCCCAGGAGACAGCAGGCACCAGACCUGGCCAGCCUUAGAGAUUACGGUAAGAACUUGGGAUGUCCCACGAUGUGGGUUUAGAAUCCAGUGAAGGUUCCAAACAGAAGGGUGACAUACUCCGAAUUGCAUUUUGAAAGGACCGCUCUGGGUGCCACGUUGAGAACAGACUGUGACGGGCCAGGGAUGGACUCAGAGGGACCAGUUAGGAGGUGGUUGUGGUAAUUCAGACCUGAUAAGAUGCUAGCAGAGGUGGUGAGCAGCCGUCAGAAUCCAGAUAUAUUUGGGAUGUGGAGCCAGUAAGACAGAUGUGAAAUAUGAGAGAAAGAGGAAUCAAAGAUGACCCCAAGGCCAUUGACUUGCGAUACUGAAAACAUGAAGCUGCCAUUUAUGGAGAUGGGGAAACCAAGCACAUGGAGUAGAAUGGGUGAGUCUUGACCUUGACCUUCUGCCUCUAAGGUCAUGCUCCUCUCUCACAGAUGCAGCCCCAGUUAUGGCAUGACAUGACUUUAGCGGGUCUUCCCGAGCCAUUGGCAGACAUCUGCAAGUUUUAUCUUUUGAUUGGGGGCACCUUGGACAUCUCCAACUGAGAUCCUCUUUCCUCCAGUCAUGUUGUCUGAAUGUACUGGGAAGCAGCAGGGCUUGUCCAGGUCAUGAUGGUGACAAGAGGCAGCAGGCUGGACACCCCCGUGAGCAGAGCCAAGCUGAGGCAGUGAGGCUCACUCCAGCAGGGCUGGUAGGAGCGGAGGAGCAGGUAUCAGGGCAGGAGGCCUCGCCUCGCCUGCACAGUAGAAUCACGGGGGAAUUUCUGCCCGGGUCCUACUCCAGGCCAAUUGCCAGAAUGUGGGGGUAGGAGCCAGGCAUCCAUGGUUUUUAAAGUUCCCUAGUAUUCGGCCAAGGUCGAGAGCAAUUUCCUUCAGUCAGCAAGUGUGUCUUCAGUGCUUCUUGUUGUUUGCUGAUUCCAACUAUGCUUAGCAAGAACCUAGGCACUGUGGGGGGAGGAAACACCCCUGUCCUUACAAAUUAAGGUGAAGCAGACAGGGACUGCAGGGCAUUCUCUUCCUACUCUGCACUGAAAUCAAAUCAGACUCUCCGAGAUAACAUUGAGUCCUCCUAGUCUCAUUUUAUGCAUCUCCAUCUCUAGCCCUGCUUUGAAGGUGAAGCAUAUUUCAGAGAUUAUUUUUAAAUGCAAUCUGGCAAAGCCCUGCCCAGAAAGUCUCCCAAAAGGGCCCAUGGUGUGUGGAAUGUGGCAGAGAGGUGACAGAGUGCGGGCUGAGCCAGCAAUGUCCCAGGUGUUCCUUUCCUGGCCAUGGGCACUGGGUAGGCAGGACUGAGAGGAAAGUGAAAGAAUGGCAGUUCCCCCAGGGCAGACUGACCCACAGACAGGUCCAAUUUCAAUUCCAGAUGCAGGAGGCUGAGAUGCAGGCUCCUGCUCCCCACAUUCAUGCCCAUCAGCAAGCCAUGCCAUAUCCAGCAGACAGACAGCCGUUCAGUGCACAGAAUACCCCUCCAGGCCAGCAGCAGCUGUCACCCCUCUUCAGUCAUCUGCUCUUCAGACACUUCUGUGGACAGAGCCCAGAUAACUUGAUUAAGGUAAGAUGAAAUGAGAAACAUUUGCUCCUUUAAAAUCGCUAACAUCUGUCCUGGCCAGCAGAGCCACAGCUCUUUGUAACUGAGGAAAGACAAUCCCUGAGAAGUCUGGGUGUGGGAACGAUGGCGCUCCCGGUGCACCCACCUCCCACCUGCCUGCCCCUGGGAGCCUGCAGGGAAGACAAGGCAUUGCUGUACAAGGACCUGGACUUGAGUCUUGACUCCACCAAGACUCUGUGUGCCCUUGAGGCAGAUGGUGACCUCUCUGGACUUCAGUUUCCUUGCAUGUUUGCCGGGAGGAGGAGCUAGAGGAUGCGAGCAGGUGCAGAAGACAUGAGGCGGUGCUCCAUUUGCCCCUGCAAAGACCUCCUUCCUUCCUGUGAGCCCGGAAGGAAGAGAGUGAAACCACCGGCACAUGGCCACAGCCUGACCUUAUGGAGGUGGCCUCAGUGGCUGGGGAUGGGUCUGGCUUUAGUGUCUGGUCAAGCGAAUAAAUGACUUUCAAGAACUGUGUACAGGGAGGUGUUUGGCAGGUGGACCCAGGGCUGGCCCCAGAGAGAGACCACUGUGAUGCCACUUCAUAGCUGAUGACAUGAGGCCGAGAGGCAUCUGAAGAUAUGACAGUUACUCAUUGCCUGUCCAAGUCAGCGAGGACACAGGGAAGGAGCCAGGGAUGGCGGUUCUGGCAUCUCCCACGUCGACAAGACGGCACCACCUAACACGGCCACAGCUUCCCCACUUCUGUGCAGGCUCCAGACUGGGUCCCUAUGGUGGAUUAAUGAUGGCCACAAUUCCUUGUCAUUCUCCCAUCAAGAGGUGGAAUUUCCUUCCCUCCCAUGGACCUGAGCUGGCCACAACAGCUUAACCAAAGGAAGGAGGAAGAAGUGACGCUGGGCCAGCUUCUGGCUAAGUGUUAAGAAGGCUUCUGCUUCCGCACUUUGAGGAGCCCUGAGCCUCCAUGUGAGAAGUCCCCAGCUCCCUUCACCAGAAAGGCUGCAUGGAGACACCUCAUAGAGAGGCCACAUAGGGAGCCAAGGCCUUGAGACGACGUGGAGAGGCAGCUGUUCUGGGCCCCUGGGAGAGCGUCCAGGGGACUCCAGCCCAGGCACCUUCUGCCUGCAACCUCCCAAGAGACCCCAAGUGAGACCAGCCAACAAUCGCCCAACUGAGCCUAGUCAACCUGAGGAACCAUGGCAGGGAAUAAGCGCUUGCUGUUCCAAACCAUUAAGUUCGGGGUGGUUUAUUACACAGCAGUGGAUCAGUAGAGACCUCUCCAUUGCUGUCUUUAGGUAACUUUCUGUUGCCUUCAUCUAAGAGCCGGGCCCCAGAAAUCAGAAAUUCCCCCGCAUCAGGGUCCCUGUAGGGCAUCUCCACAGCAUCCCUUGUGGUGCAUGUGUCUUCAGGUCACCUCCGACUUUUAUGUGUCACACAAUAUUCAAGUGUAGAGGAUGCAGGAGGCACCAGAUGGACCUCGAAUUGUGAAAUCCCAGGAGCCCAUCUCCUGGUUCUUGUGGGCAGGCUUAAAACACAAACAGGCGCUCCUGAUUUGUUUUCAUCCUCUUCCCUCUCCUGGGACCGAUUCUGAUUCAGCCCCUCGGAAGUGCCGUCUGUUCUGGCCACUCAGUGCCCUUCAGGCCUGGCUUGUGCUCACGCUGUCGGCCUGGGGCCCACUCCCAGCAUCAGGGCAGCUUGGUUCUUGCAGCCUCUUGAGUGCGGACUCAGCCUCCUCAAAUCCCUGCAAGGCCUCCUGCUUCAGGGCAGCUCUGACGGGGUGGCCCGAGCCGCAUCCUCACCAGCACAUCCUGACGAACCCAGCCAGCCUCCAGACUCCCCUAACCACUGGCACUCCCUGACAGGAGCCCCAGUCUUCCAGAUCAACAGGGAGAUACUAAAAACUCUCAUUCUGAACCAAGUAACUCUCUCUAAAAGAGAGCCAAGGCCCCUUCACUCACUUUGGCCCCUACUCUAAGCUUUGGCCUUGGAGGGACAAGUAUGGUUUAUAGAUAUUUUUAGGAACAAUUUCAAAUGUACACGAAAGCAGAGAGAGAUGCAGAUUAGACUCCCAUGGGCCGUCCCUAGGGCUCAUGGCAUUCUCAUUUCCCAUCGCCUAGCCUCUGUCUCUGCACUCCAGGUUACUCUGAGGCAAAUCCUGGCUAUCACAUCAUUUCGUUGUAAAUAUUGAGGCGUGCAGCUCUAGAAGCGAGGACUCCCCUCUUCAACUACAGUACCAUCGUCCACACUUUCUGAGAAUCUCAUCUGGGCCGGGCCCUGCCCCAAAUGCCUCCCAGGUAAGGCCCACUGUGGAAUGUGCCAGAAAUGAGACCGUAGGGCUGGCCCUGAGGCAUCAGCUCCCCGGUUUGGGGGACUCCAUAGAACAUGGUAGGGCCAGAAGCCAGAGGAGAGUGAGAGAAUCACAGACACACACGCAGGACAAGAUUCCGAAAGCCGACUAGACUUGGAUGCAGCCAUGGUGCUGCCCUGUGCACCGACACCCCAUCUCGUCACCUUCCCCACCAGAGCUGCCUGGCCUGGUUUUAGUGUCCUUGGGUGGCCUCAGAGCUGCAGACUCCCAGAAGGUAAAAAUGGCUUAGUUGUUCACUGUCACCCCGAGAAUAGUGCAGAUUCCAGUGAACAGCCAGGCCCAGCAAGGGCCAUCUGCCCGUGGACCCCGCACCAGCGUCCCUGUGCUGCCCUCCUCGGCGCUACCCAGAAUGCCUCACUCAGAAGCAUGGCGGGACUCCUGGCUUUCCCAUACAUGUGAAACAGGGUCCAGAGCAGGGGAAAUAAAUACAAGAAAUUAAAGGCUGUUUUCAUUAAGUAAAAUUUUGAAAACAAGUUAGCUUGCAGAUUCCUAAAACGCAGUAAUUAUGCCUUUAUGCUGUUUUGUGUCUCUCAUAGUUUCUAUACCAACAUUUCUAACCUUGACACUAUGGAAUUUCAAGCCAGACCCUUCUUUGUUGUGGGGGGCCAUUCUGAGCAUUGUAGACUCCCUAGUCUGUACCCCCGGAUGCUAGCAGCAGCCUUUCUUCUCCAAGCUGUGACAACCAAAAAUGUCUGCAGACGUUGCCAAAUGUGCCCUGGGAGGCAAAGCUACCCUUUGGUUGACAGCCGCUGAUCUAUACAACAAAGAUGGUCGCUAUGGUUGGAGACAGAAAUAAGUCGACCUACUGUGAUAUGUUUCCCAUAGACUCUUUCUGAGAACUCAGGUCAUAGUUUUACAGGACUCGACCAAAGAUUUGUAUCCAUUGUUUGGAUUUUUUUUCUCAUUCUAUUAUUUUUCCUUUUUUAUUGCACCCCUAAAAGAGGUAAAACACCUUCACAAUGUCCACAUUGCAGCAAAAGCUAUAAUAUCUGUGGGAUGAUUUACAUCUAGCUAAAAAUUUAGAAGUUUCUGGAGCAAUCAGUCCUCGCUUUCGCUGAUGAUUUCAGUAGAUGGUUUGGCCCUGCCCUGCUCUCAGGAAGUCCAGAUGUCUUCCUUGAGCUCACAGAUACUGGUGCUGGGGGAAAGGUCCCAGGUUAAUGAUCACCAGGCCAAGGCAGGCUGGCUGAGCAGUUACAGAGAUGCUCACCAUGGGCCUCAGGGUUGAGGCUCCAGGAGCUCAGGUCUCAGGCCAAUGCCAUGUGGCCACAGUGCCUGCUGAGGGUGCAGCCCCGCGAAUCCCCAGAUACAGUGCAAGGGCUUCCUUAUAGAUGAAUUGUCACUUUAGUAAGCAGAGAGCAGGGCCAUGAGGUAAUGGACUGAGAACAGGCGGGGCUGGUGAAGAAAUAGAGCAAGGAAUGGGUAUCUGUAGCCCCUUGGAAGAAGCAGCAGAGAGCUCCAUAGGAGUGGGAGGCCGGAACGGAGCGGCUGAUCUGCCUCCCAAAACUGUGCCUUAGACCGAACCUCUCUCCAGCCCGAAAAUAGGCCAGGAGGGCUGGGCUGCCUGUCCCCGCAGCCUCUUUAGGGUGGGGGUGGCAAGAAUGUUCCUCUGCAGCGACACAUCCAAGCCUCUCCCACAUUGUCAGCCACUCUGCUUUGAGGCUGAGCUCCAACCCCUCCCAGGAAGGAGGAAGAAAAGACUCAUGGCCGAGACCAAGUCCCAGCAGGCGUCUCCUUAGGACAGAAGAUGGAAACGUUAACCUUUUCUGCUUGCUGAGCAGGCAGAGAAAGGAAGGCUGUUGUGAAGAAUGGGACCCUGGGCACACUCCGUGCUUGGGGACAUGACGUGCCCUUGACCACGGUGCACAGGGCAGAGGGUUGGAAAGCACUGACAGUUCUGCACAGGGGAGCCAUUCAGGCCCCUGGGUUCCCACAGGGCUGGCCAGUCAGCGCCUUGCGGGUGCCCAGCUGGGCUGGGAGUGUCCCCUCUCCCACGGUGGUAAACACGGCUGGCCUCGGGAGGGGCUGCACAGACAGCCCAGUACACCCAGCAGGCCGAGCCCAGCUCAUUCCACUGAGCCGUGGGGGCCCUGGGGACUUAACCAGAAGCCCGUGUCUGCUAACAGAAGGCACUUUGUUUCCUGGAGUGGGCGGCACUUUCUUCUCCUCUCCCUUCACAGAGGACAGGGCCACGGAGGCAUGUUUAAGUUAUUGUUAUUUCCAGCUUGGCAAAAAUGUAAAUGUGAGAGUUCACAUUGACGGAAAAUAGACAGCAUUUUCCCUGUGGACGGGUGCGGCUGUCACCCACUGCUCGGGUCCAGGAGGGCAGCUCCCUGAGGGAGGCCAAGGGGCUGGGAGGGUGAGUGCACACAGAAGUCAGAAGUAAAGAGCCACCAGCAAAUGUGACCCACACGGACACCUUCACCCCAGCUGCACUGGGCUCUCCCACUGUGCUGUGAUGAUGCAACCCGGGCCUCAUGCAUAUCCCUGGGCCUGCCCCGGUGCGGGCUGCCUGUGGCCUGUCCGCUUGCCUUCCCCAGAUAAAGAGUCAUUCUGUUCCUGGAGCUUUCAUGGGGUCUCAUUUAAUCUCCAUUACAAUAAAUUCAUUCAUUCAUUCA